GACGAACGCGGCGGCGUGCUUAACCCAUGCAAGUCGAACGAAAGCGACGGAAGCUGGUUCUUUCAUUCUUAGGGCGAAGGGGGGGUACGCGUAUUCACCCGGCCCUUCAGAGGGGGACACCAGUGGAAACGACUGCUAAUACCGCAUACGAUCUAAUCUCGGGCAUCGAGGAUAGAUGAAAAGGUGGCCUCUACAUGUAAGCUAUCACUGAAGGAGGGGAUUGCGUCUGAUUAGCUAGUUGGAGGGGUAACGGCCCACCAAGGCGAUGAUCAGUAGCCGGUCUGAGAGGAUGAACGGCCACAUUGGGACUGAGACACGGCCCAGACUCCUACGGGAGGCAGCAGUGGGGAAUCUUCCGCAAUGGACGAAAGUCUGACGGAGCAACGCCGCGUGAGUGAUGACGGCCUUCGGGUUGUAAAGCUCUGCUAAUCGGGACGAAAGGCCUUCUUGCGAA
RNAcentral lists this ribosomal RNA (454 nucleotides) under Veillonella sp. oral taxon H26. RNAcentral describes it as "bacterial SSU rRNA". It matches the Rfam family "Bacterial small subunit ribosomal RNA", at positions 28 to 464 of the family's 1533-position model. The record is from RNAcentral. Lineage: Bacteria; Bacillati; Bacillota; Negativicutes; Veillonellales; Veillonellaceae.